This 907-nucleotide ribosomal RNA is filed under the name uncultured bacterium. Its description in RNAcentral is "bacterial SSU rRNA". It matches the Rfam family "Bacterial small subunit ribosomal RNA", at positions 8 to 916 of the family's 1533-position model. The record is from RNAcentral.
AGAGUUUGAUCCUGGCUCAGGAUGAACGCUGGCGGCGUGCCUAAUACAUGCAAGUCGAACGCUUCACUUCGGUGAAGAGUGGCGAACGGGUGAGUAAUACAUAAGUAACCUGGCAUCUACAGGGGGAUAACUGAUGGAAACGUCAGCUAAGACCGCAUAGGUGUAGAGAUCGCAUGAACUCUAUAUGAAAAGUGCUACGGGACUGGUAGAUGAUGGACUUAUGGCGCAUUAGCUUGUUGGUAGGGUAACGGCCUACUAAGGCGACGAUGCGUAGCCGACCUGAGAGGGUGACCGGCCACACUGGGACUGAGACACGGCCCAGACUCCUACGGGAGGCAGCAGUAGGGAAUUUUCGGCAAUGGGGGAAACCCUGACCGAGCAACGCCGCGUGAAGGAAGAAGUAAUUCGUUAUGUAAACUUCUGUCAUAGAGGAAGAACGGUGGAUAUAGGGAAUGAUAUCCAAGUGACGGUACUCUAUAAGAAAGCCACGGCUAACUACGUGCCAGCAGCCGCGGUAAUACGUAGGUGGCGAGCGUUAUCCGGAAUUAUUGGGCGUAAAGAGGGAGCAGGCGGCACUAAGGGUCUGUGGUGAAAGAUCGAAGCUUAACUUCGGUAAGCCAUGGAAACCGUAGAGCUAGAGUGUGUGAGAGGAUCGUGGAAUUCCAUGUGUAGCGGUGAAAUGCGUAGAUAUAUGGAGGAACACCAGUGGCGAAGGCGACGAUCUGGCGCAUAACUGACGCUCAGUCCCGAAAGCGUGGGGAGCAAAUAGGAUUAGAUACCCUAGUAGUCCACGCCGUAAACGAUGAGUACUAAGUGUUGGGUGUCAAAGCUCAGUGCUGCAGUUAACGCAAUAAGUACUCCGCCUGAGUAGUACGUUCGCAAGAAUGAAACUCAAAGGAAUUGACUG